GGACUGCCUUCCCAAAGGCGGCCGAGUACUCCUGCUUUCAGCUUCCUCACUGACCAUCUGUGAUUUCUUUCCAGAAAAGUACUGCCAUUCCUUCACCUGGUGGAAGCCAGAAGAGGAGAGGGCGCUGGGUCCUGAGGGUCCCAGGCCGGUUCUCCCCUGUCAUUUUCCUCUGCAUCUCUUUCCCCUGCCUGAAGGAUUUCUACGUAUCCAUCCUGCCUGGUGGGAAUUCCUCUAACCUCGUAUCUUCCUUCUCCUCGAGAACAGCUGCCUCAAAGCUCCGCCACAGCCGUUCCCAUCCCUCCUCUUGGUCCUCCCUUCCCGCCUUCCAGAGUGAGGAUGCAUCCUUUGACUCUGCUCAGCAAACCUAGGAUGGGGACAAGGGACGCGUGCAGUUGAGGAAGUAAGGGACGAAAACACAGUCGCUACCCUCAAGGAACUUCUGAUUUCGUGGGGAGAUACGGACAGGACUUUCUUCCACGGAGGUACCCCUCCUCCCCCUGGCGUGCUAUUGCUGUAAACAGGACUCUGGUGGUCUGCUAUCAAAUCUCAGAACUCCUCAAAGCUGUAAAACAGGCAAAUGCACAAAGAAAGAUCUGGGACCUACACUCGAUGUCCACCCUCUGGCCACGUCUGAUCCGCGAAGCCUCUCCGCUGUAGGCUGGCUGGAGCCCUGGUGAAAGGUGGCUUCUCUUCCAUCUAGGCAGCUAUGACAAGAGAAGUGCCCCACUUGAGGCCGGUCGAAAGGAAGCUGGGCUGUGGAUGCAGCUGACAUCUAGGAAGGAAGGCAGAGCUGAGAGAAUAGCAGAAUAUGGUGCUAGAGCCCUGAUCAUGCAAUGCCUGAAGCCUGAACUACCCCAGUUACCUCUGAAGGAGCUAAUAAAUCACCUUGUAUU
This is a long non-coding RNA of Neomonachus schauinslandi (Hawaiian monk seal), 893 nucleotides long. RefSeq lists it as uncharacterized. The record is from RefSeq and is a predicted model, not a curated record. The transcript is spliced from 5 exons. NCBI's taxonomy places the organism in Eukaryota, Metazoa, Chordata, Mammalia, Carnivora, Phocidae.